RNAcentral lists this ribosomal RNA (515 nucleotides) under uncultured bacterium. RNAcentral describes it as "partial 16S ribosomal RNA". It matches the Rfam family "Bacterial small subunit ribosomal RNA", at positions 28 to 523 of the family's 1533-position model. The record is from RNAcentral.
GAUGAACGCUGGCGGCGUGCCUAAUACAUGCAAGUCGAGCGAAUGGAUUAAGAGCUUGCUCUUAUGAAGUUAGCGGCGGACGGGUGAGUAACACGUGGGUAACCUGCCCAUAAGACUAGGAUAACUCCGGGAAACCGGGGCUAAUACCGGAUACCAUUUUGAACCGAAUGGUUCGAAAUUGAAAGGCGGCUUCGGCUGUCACUUAUGGAUGGACCCGUGUCGCAUUAGCUAGUUGGUGAGGUAACGGCUCACCAAGGCAACGAUGCGUAGCCGACCUGAGAGGGUGAUCGGCCACACUGGGACUGGGACACGGCCCAGACUCCUACGGGAGGCAGCAGGAGGGAAUCUUCCGCAAUGGACGAAAGUCUGACGGAGCAACGCCGCGUGAGUGAUGAAGGCUUUCGGGUCGUAAAACUCUGUUGUUAGGGAAGAACAAGUGCUAGUUGAAUAAGCUGGCACCUUGACGGUACCUAACCAGAAAGCCACGGCUAACUACGUGCCAGCCGCCGCAGUAA